RNAcentral lists this small nucleolar RNA (239 nucleotides) under Leptobrachium leishanense (Leishan spiny toad). RNAcentral's name for it is "Small nucleolar RNA SNORA53 (ENSLLEG00000017200.1)". It matches the Rfam family "Small nucleolar RNA SNORA53". Rfam says of the family: The snoRNA ACA53 belongs to the H/ACA family of pseudouridylation guide snoRNAs. Lineage: Eukaryota; Metazoa; Chordata; Amphibia; Anura; Megophryidae. The record is from Rfam by way of RNAcentral.
CACAUGCUCCCUUAGAUCCAUCUUUGUGGAUGUCUUACUGGUGCUGAGUUCUGCCCGUAUUUACUAGCAGUUCCAGUUCAGUGAUUUCCAGCAACUUUCUGGUUGUACAGUCAAAGAUGCUUGAGUCAUUGGCAUGUCAGAUCAAUAUACCUGUAUGGCAGCUUUAAUGUUCUGAUGGCAGUGGCUGCAACCUUGUAUGCCAAGUUUCACCAUCAGGGCUUUGUUGUCAUAUGGACAUU